UACGUAGGGCGCAAGCGUUGUCCGGAAUCAUUGGGCGUAAAGAGCUCGUAGGCGGCCUGUUGCGUCCGCUGUGAAAUCCCGGGGCUUAACCCCUGGCGUGCAGUGGAUACGGGCAGACUAGAGUGCGGUAGGGGAGACUGGAAUUCCUGGUGUAGCGGUGAAAUGCGCAGAUAUCAGGAGGAACACCGGUGGCGAAGGCGGGUCUCUGGGCCGUAACUGACGCUGAGGAGCGAAAGCGUGGGGAGCGAACAGG
Molecule: ribosomal RNA, 253 nt
Filed under: uncultured bacterium
Lineage: Bacteria
Description: partial 16S ribosomal RNA
Rfam family: Bacterial small subunit ribosomal RNA
Source: RNAcentral